UGGCGUCUCUCACAAGCGUCUUAUCUGAGUACAUCUAUUUCUUGCCUUUUACUCUGUCUCUGGCGGAUUUCCUUCUUCUCCGAGGCACAAAGAACCUGAACCUCAGUGAGUCCAGACACUGGAACUGAAACCCCCAACAAAUGGAAGGCGUUGAUCAGGUCUCCUUCAUUCCAAAAGAAGGAUCAUCAGAACCAGUCCUGGGACCACCUGAACACCAGAGUCACGGAUGCCAGAGGCCAUGGAGAUGAGAACAGUGGCCACACACAGCUGCGGAGAGGGGGCCCUCCAUGGUGACCAGCGGGCGUGUGCCUGGGCUAAAGGGGGCAGAAGUCACUCAGCGUCAGCCAGUGACCGCCACGUGAGAGGAACCCAGUGUGAGGUGGUGAGCCCCGACUCUGUAAACUUCCCACUUCGCGAUGCCUCGGUGGUUGAGGAGACACUUGAAGAACGUGGAAAGCAUCCUGAGGACAAGGACAAAAAUGCUUAGCAGGUGACAGAUGUGUGGGGCCUACUUAACGAAACAUCAUUUUGUCCCAGGAAGGGAUAUUUGAGCUGACUUAGACUAACCAUCUUCGGCUAAGUCAGUGCUCUCAGACAAACGGAGAAUUGAGGAAAUUAUCUUGGAAACGUAGGUGAAAAUGUUUCCCCUGAGAUAUUUUAACACCUGGGACUAGGGUGUCUCUUAAGAUAAUUUGGGUGAAAAUUUGCGCCCCUUUCUCCAUUUUAUUGCAUGUGGAAAGAGCAGAUGUUUUCCAAGAAUUGUUUACGCUUGUCCCCUACAAUUUGUUUUCAUGCCCGUGUCACUCUUUGAGUCACUGCAGGCUGGCAUCUACCCUCACAGCUGCCAGAGUCCAGCUCCGACGGCCUUUCCCAGACUUCACUUUAUUGGCCUCUUGGCGGUAUGGGACCCUGGACCACUCUUCCCUUUGUAAAGCAUCUCUUCCUUUGGUUUCUGUGACCUCACGUUCUCCUGGCUUUUCCCUCCUUCUCCAGUGGAUUCUGCUCAGUUUCUUUAGGAAGCUCGUUUUUCUCUCCAUCCUUAAACACUGGU
This is a non-coding RNA of Sus scrofa (pig), 1051 nucleotides long. Lineage: Eukaryota; Metazoa; Chordata; Mammalia; Artiodactyla; Suidae. The record is from RefSeq and is a predicted model, not a curated record.